Molecule: ribosomal RNA, 1350 nt
Filed under: uncultured bacterium
Lineage: Bacteria
Description: bacterial SSU rRNA
Rfam family: Bacterial small subunit ribosomal RNA
Source: RNAcentral
GGCUUAACACAUGCAAGUCGAGGGGCAGCAUUUUAGUUUGCUUGCAAACUAAAGAUGGCGACCGGCGCACGGGUGAGUAACACGUAUCCAACCUGCCGAUAACUCGGGGAUAGCCUUUCGAAAGAAAGAUUAAUAUCCGAUAGUAUAUUAAAACCGCAUGGUUUUACUAUUAAAGAAUUUCGGUUAUCGAUGGGGAUGCGUUCCAUUAGUUUGGUGGCGGGGUAACGGCCCACCAAGACUACGAUGGAUAGGGGUUCUGAGAGGAAGGUCCCCCACAUUGGAACUGAGACACGGUCCAAACUCCUACGGGAGGCAGCAGUGAGGAAUAUUGGUCAAUGGACGAGAGUCUGAACCAGCCAAGUAGCGUGAAGGAUGACUGCCCUAUGGGUUGUAAACUUCUUUUAUAUGGGAAUAAAGUAUUCCACGUGUGGGAUUUUGUAUGUACCAUAUGAAUAAGGAUCGGCUAACUCCGUGCCAGCAGCCGCGGUAAUACGGAGGAUCCGAGCGUUAUCCGGAUUUAUUGGGUUUAAAGGGAGCGUAGGUGGAUUGUUAAGUCAGUUGUGAAAGUUUGCGGCUCAACCGUAAAAUUGCAGUUGAAACUGGCAGUCUUGAGUACAGUAGAGGUGGGCGGAAUUCGUGGUGUAGCGGUGAAAUGCUUAGAUAUCACGAAGAACUCCGAUUGCGAAGGCAGCUCACUAGACUGCAACUGACACUGAUGCUCGAAAGUGUGGGUAUCAAACAGGAUUAGAUACCCUGGUAGUCCACACAGUAAACGAUGAAUACUCGCCUGUUUGCGAUAUACAGUAAAGCGGCCAAGCGAAAGCAUUAAGUAUUCCACCUGGGGAGUACGCCGGCAACGGUGAAACUCAAAGGAAUUGACGGGGGCCCGCACAAGCGGAGGAACAUGUGGUUUAAUUCGAUGAUACGCGAGGAACCUUACCCGGGCUUAAAUUGCAUUUGAAUAAUCUGGAAACAGGUUAGCCGCAAGGCAAAUGUGAAGGUGCUGCAUGGUUGUCGUCAGCUCGUGCCGUGAGGUGUCGGCUUAAGUGCCAUAACGAGCGCAACCCUUAUCUUUAGUUACUAACAGGUUAUGCUGAGGACUCUAGAGAGACUGCCGUCGUAAGAUGUGAGGAAGGUGGGGAUGACGUCAAAUCAGCACGGCCCUUACGUCCGGGGCUACACACGUGUUACAAUGGGGGGUACAGAAGGCAGCUACCUGGCGACAGGAUGCUAAUCCCAAAAACCUCUCUCAGUUCGGAUCGAAGUCUGCAACCCGACUUCGUGAAGCUGGAUUCGCUAGUAAUCGCGCAUCAGCCAUGGCGCGGUGAAUACGUUCCCGGGCCUUGUACA